ACGAAUGCAGCUGAAUUAGCUCUGCUCAAGUUCAGGAGCGAUGUUGAUUGGCGAUGCCAGCGUUCAAAAGCCGAUAGGUUUUGUCAUCUGGAUAGCCGCCAACUCCUCUGCACUCUUGUGCAAGCUGGCCAACAACAGUUGCCCGUGGCUGAGAAGGGCCGUUGGGUAGGUGGUUACCUCUCGUAGGUAAAACUUAUAGCCAUCAGUCUGGAAGUCUGCGGGUGACUGAGGAUAACUUGGCAGCGUAGGCCUCUGGCCUUGGGCCACUUCUGGUCGUUUGGGUACCGCUUCAGGGACUGCGUGCAGUGUCUGUUGACGGCUGUCUGCUCGGGCGGGAGACUGGUCACACCUU
This 352-nucleotide unclassified non-coding RNA is filed under the name Demospongiae sp. GW41338. RNAcentral describes it as "sequence contains 28S rRNA gene". The record is from RNAcentral. Lineage: Eukaryota; Metazoa; Porifera; Demospongiae.